RNAcentral lists this non-coding RNA (21 nucleotides) under Caenorhabditis elegans. Lineage: Eukaryota; Metazoa; Nematoda; Chromadorea; Rhabditida; Rhabditidae. The record is from RNAcentral.
UCUUGUUGAUUUGAUACGUGC